This 740-nucleotide ribosomal RNA is filed under the name uncultured Chloroflexota bacterium. Its description in RNAcentral is "bacterial SSU rRNA". It matches the Rfam family "Bacterial small subunit ribosomal RNA", at positions 576 to 1324 of the family's 1533-position model. The record is from RNAcentral. Lineage: Bacteria; Bacillati; Chloroflexota.
CGGCUCCUUAAGUUAGAUGUAAAAUCUUCUGACUCAAUCAGAAGGUGUCAUUUAAUACUGAGGGGCUCGAGAGCAGCAGAGGGAAAUGGAAUUUCCGGUGUAGCGGUGAAAUGCGUAGAUAUCGGGAAGAACACCAGUGGCGAAGGCGAUUUCCCAGGCUGUUUCUGACGUUGAGGCUCGAAAGCGUGGGGAGCGAAGCAGAUUAGAUACCCGCAUAGUCCACGCCUUAAACGGUGGACAUUAGAUAUGGGAGGUAUCGACCCUUUCUGUGUCGAAGCUAACGCUUUAAGUGUCCCGCCUGGGGAGUACGGCCGCAAGGUUGAAACUCAAAGGAAUUGACGGGGGCCCGCACAAGCAGCGGAGCGUGUGGUUUAAUUCGAUGCUACGCGAAGAACCUUACCAGAGCUUGACAUGACAGAAGUAGGAAUCCGAAAGGAGGACGACCUGUAUCCAGUCAGGAGCUGUCACAGGUGCUACAUGGCUGUCGUCAGCUCGUGCCGUGAGGUGUUGGGUUAUGUCCCGCAACGAGCGCAACCCUUGUCCUAUGUUAAAUUCUCAUAGGAGACUGCCUUGUACAGCAAGGAGGAAGGAAAGGAUGACGUCAAGUCAGCACGGCCUUUAUGCCCUGGGCUACACACACGCUACAAUGGAUGAUACAGAGGGUUGCCAAGGAGCGAUCCGGAGCUAAUCCCUAAAAAUCAUCCUCAGUUCUGAUUGCAGGCUGAAAUCGCCUGCAUGAA